GCUCAGGACGAACGCUGGCGGCGUGCCUAAUACAUGCAAGUCGAGCGGACAGAUGGGAGCUUGCUCCCUGAUGUUAGCGGCGGACGGGUGAGUAACACGUGGGUAACCUGCCUGUAAGACUGGGAUAACUCCGGGAAACCGGGGCUAAUACCGGAUGGUUGUUUGAACCGCAUGGUUCAAACAUAAAAGGUGGCUUCGGCUACCACUUACAGAUGGACCCGCGGCGCAUUAGCUAGUUGGUGAGGUAACGGCUCACCAAGGCAACGAUGCGUAGCCGACCUGAGAGGGUGAUCGGCCACACUGGGACUGAGACACGGCCCAGACUCCUACGGGAGGCAGCAGUAGGGAAUCUUCCGCAAUGGACGAAAGUCUGACGGAGCAACGCCGCGUGAGUGAUGAAGGUUUUCGGAUCGUAAAGCUCUGUUGUUAGGGAAGAACAAGUACCGUUCGAAUAGGGCGGUACCUUGACGGUACCUAACCAGAAAGCCACGGCUAACUACGUGCCAGCAGCCGCGGUAAUACGUAGGUGGCAAGCGUUGUCCGGAAUUAUUGGGCGUAAAGGGCUCGCAGGCGGUUUCUUAAGUCUGAUGUGAAAGCCCCCGGCUCAACCGGGGAGGGUCAUUGGAAACUGGGGAACUUGAGUGCAGAAGAGGAGAGUGGAAUUCCACGUGUAGCGGUGAAAUGCGUAGAGAUGUGGAGGAACACCAGUGGCGAAGGCGACUCUCUGGUCUGUAACUGACGCUGAGGAGCGAAAGCGUGGGGAGCGAACAGGAUUAGAUACCCUGGUAGUCCACGCCGUAAACGAUGAGUGCUAAGUGUUAGGGGGUUUCCGCCCCUUAGUGCUGCAGCUAACGCAUUAAGCACUCCGCCUGGGGAGUACGGUCGCAAGACUGAAACUCAAAGGAAUUGACGGGGGCCCGCACAAGCGGUGGAGCAUGUGGUUUAAUUCGAAGCAACGCGAAGAACCUUACCAGGUCUUGACAUCCUCUGACAAUCCUAGAGAUAGGACGUCCCCUUCGGGGGCAGAGUGACAGGUGGUGCAUGGUUGUCGUCAGCUCGUGUCGUGAGAUGUUGGGUUAAGUCCCGCAACGAGCGCAACCCUUGAUCUUAGUUGCCAGCAUUCAGUUGGGCACUCUAAGGUGACUGCCGGUGACAAACCGGAGGAAGGUGGGGAUGACGUCAAAUCAUCAUGCCCCUUAUGACCUGGGCUACACACGUGCUACAAUGGACAGAACAAAGGGCAGCGAAACCGCGAGGUUAAGCCAAUCCCACAAAUCUGUUCUCAGUUCGGAUCGCAGUCUGCAACUCGACUGCGUGAAGCUGGAAUCGCUAGUAAUCGCGGAUCAGCAUGCCGGGGGAAAACCCUUUCCCCGGGCCCUUGUACACACCGCCCGUCACACCACGAGAGUUUGUAACACCCGAAGUCGGUGAGGUAACCUUUUAGGAGCCAGCCGCCGAAGGUGGGACAGAUGAUUGGGGUGAUU
RNAcentral lists this ribosomal RNA (1484 nucleotides) under Bacillus subtilis. RNAcentral's name for it is "bacterial SSU rRNA". It matches the Rfam family "Bacterial small subunit ribosomal RNA". Lineage: Bacteria; Bacillati; Bacillota; Bacilli; Caryophanales; Bacillaceae. The record is from RNAcentral.